This 73-nucleotide transfer RNA is filed under the name Punica granatum (pomegranate). It matches the Rfam family "tRNA". From Rfam's summary of the family: Transfer RNA (tRNA) molecules are approximately 80 nucleotides in length. Their secondary structure includes four short double-helical elements and three loops (D, anti-codon, and T loops). Further hydrogen bonds mediate the characteristic L-shaped molecular structure. tRNAs have two regions of fundamental functional importance: the anti-codon, which is responsible for specific mRNA codon recognition, and the 3' end, to which the tRNAs corresponding amino acid is attached (by aminoacyl-tRNA synthetases). tRNAs cope with the degeneracy of the genetic code in two manners: having more than one tRNA (with a specific anti-codon) for a particular amino acid; and 'wobble' base-pairing, i.e. permitting non-standard base-pairing at the 3rd anti-codon position. The record is from Rfam by way of RNAcentral. Lineage: Eukaryota; Viridiplantae; Streptophyta; Magnoliopsida; Myrtales; Lythraceae.
ACCUACUUAAUUCUGUGGUUAGAGUAUUACUUUCAUACGACUAGAAUCAUUGGUUCAAAUCCAAUAGUAGGUA